CCCUUAGAUGUCCUGGGCCGCACGCGCGCUACACUGAGUGUCUGAGAUACGAGUUUGCCUGGUCCGGCAAGGUCUAGGUAAUCGCUAAAAGACACAUCAUGCUUGGGAUAGAUUAUUGCAAAUAUUAAUCUUGAACGAGGAAUUCCUAGUAAGCGCAAGUCAACAGCUUGCGUUGAUUACGUCCCUGCCCUUUGUACACACCGCCCGUCGCUACUACUGAUUGGAUGUUUAAGCGAGGUUCUCGAACUGCUAGCGACUUAGCUUCGGUGAGGUCGCAGUGUGGGAAGUGAACCUAGCUUUGGUGUCUAGAGGAAGUAAAAGUCGUAACA
RNAcentral lists this ribosomal RNA (329 nucleotides) under uncultured eukaryote. RNAcentral's name for it is "partial 18S ribosomal RNA". It matches the Rfam family "Eukaryotic small subunit ribosomal RNA", at positions 1470 to 1796 of the family's 1831-position model. The record is from RNAcentral.